RNAcentral lists this ribosomal RNA (439 nucleotides) under uncultured bacterium. RNAcentral describes it as "partial 16S ribosomal RNA". It matches the Rfam family "Bacterial small subunit ribosomal RNA", at positions 338 to 795 of the family's 1533-position model. The record is from RNAcentral.
CCUACGGGUGGCUGCAGUGGGGGGUAUUGCACAAUGGGGGGAACCCUGAUGCAGCGACGCCGCGUGGGUGAAGGAGCGUUUCGGCGCGUAAAGCCCUAUCGGCAGGGAAGAAGAUGACGGUACCUGACCAAGAAGCCCCGGCUAACUACGUGCCAGCAGCCGCGGUAAUACGGAGGAUGCGAGCGUUAUCCGGAUUUAUUGGGUUUAAAGGGUGCGUAGGCGGAGCGUUAAGUCAGUGGUCAAAUUGAGGGGCUCAACCCCUUCCCGCCAUUGAAACUGGCGCUCUUGAGUGGAAGAGAAGUAUGCGGAAUGCGUGGUGUAGCGGUGAAAUGCAUAGAUAUCACGCAGAACCCCGAUUGCGAAGGCAGCAUGCCGGCUUCCGACUGACGCUGAAGCACGAAAGCGUGGGGAUCGAACAGGAUUAGAUACCCGGGUAGUC